CCAGCCGCUAUAAAUGUGCUGCCCGACAUCCGAGGGGCAUCAGUCGACUCAAAGCGGCAGUAUGAAGACCCUCGUGUUCCUGUUUGUGGUGCUGGCUGUGGUGUGCGCGGCUCUGGCCGUGCCCGGCCCUCUGCCCCUACCACGUCCUGGCCCAGUGCCGAUCCCUGCUGCGCCCAGGGAGACCCUGCGUGGCAGCGAGCAGGUCUACUACGGUGUUUACUACCCGUAUUUAGUCUGAUGAUCUGACACUGUACUCCGGCAUCAUCCAGUGACGGCAUUAUCGACUUGGCAUCGACACGGACAUCCCCUCUAAAGCUCCUGGCCAAAAUGUGUUUUAUGUAUACUUUGUCUGGACUCCUACUUCUCAAUAAAAAUUAUUCUAUCUACUGA
Schistocerca gregaria is the source of this 390-nucleotide long non-coding RNA. RefSeq lists it as uncharacterized. The transcript is spliced from 2 exons. NCBI's taxonomy places the organism in Eukaryota, Metazoa, Arthropoda, Insecta, Orthoptera, Acrididae. The record is from RefSeq and is a predicted model, not a curated record.